This 502-nucleotide ribosomal RNA is filed under the name Aleiodes sp. Its description in RNAcentral is "partial 28S ribosomal RNA". It matches the Rfam family "Eukaryotic large subunit ribosomal RNA", at positions 462 to 798 of the family's 3401-position model. Lineage: Eukaryota; Metazoa; Arthropoda; Insecta; Hymenoptera; Braconidae. The record is from RNAcentral.
UGCACUUCUCCCCUAGUAGGACGUCGCGACCUGUUGGGUGUCGGUCUACGGCCCAAGUGAUAGUCUUUAAUGUAAUUUAAAAAAUAUUGAAGAUCCUUGGUGUUUUCUGACCGGCUACUUGGCAGUAUUCGUACGGUAUUUAGCCGCUAAAUUUAAUUAAGCGUCCAUAUCCGUCGCAAGCGAGGUUAAUUUACUGAUAGUACGGACCUAGUGCCGUCGUUGGUAUUAGCCAGCUGUUGGUUGUACGGUAUUCUAGGACUGGCUAAAAUUAAUUACCGGUCGGCGAUGCUACUGCUUUGGGUACUUUCAGGACCCGUCUUGAAACACGGACCAAGGAGUCUAACAUGUGCGCAAGUCAUUGGGAUUUUUUUAAAAUUAAACCUAAAGGCGCAAUGAAAGUAAAGGUCGACCUUGCGUCAACCGAGGGAGGAUGAGUUAUAUUAAGAUAUAGCUCCGCACUCCCGGGGCGUCUCAUUCUUAUUAAAAGAAGAGGCGCACCUAG